RNAcentral lists this ribosomal RNA (497 nucleotides) under uncultured bacterium. RNAcentral describes it as "partial 16S ribosomal RNA". It matches the Rfam family "Bacterial small subunit ribosomal RNA", at positions 28 to 507 of the family's 1533-position model. The record is from RNAcentral.
GAUGAACGCUGGCGGCGUGCCUAAUACAUGCAAGUCGAGCGAACAGACGAGGAGCUUGCUCCUUUGACGUUAGCGGCGGACGGGUGAGUAACACGUGGGUAACCUACCUAUAAGACUGGGAUAACUUCGGGAAACCGGAGCUAAUACCGGAUAAUAUUUCGAACCGCAUGGUUCGAUAGUGAAAGAUGGCUUUGCUAUCACUUAUAGAUGGACCUGCGCCGUAUUAGCUAGUUGGUAAGGUAACGGCUUACCAAGGCAACGAUACGUAGCCGUCCUGAGAGGGUGAUCGGCCACACUGGAACUGAGACACGGUCCAGACUCCUACGGGAGGCAGCAGUAGGGAAUCUUCCGCAAUGGGCGAAAGCCUGACGGAGCAACGCCGCGUGAGUGAUGAAGGUCUUCGGAUCGUAAAACUCUGUUAUUAGGGAAGAACAAACGUGUAAGUAACUGUGCAUGUCUUGACGGUACCUAAUCAGAAAGCCACGGCUAACUACGUG